Long non-coding RNA from Sebastes umbrosus (honeycomb rockfish), 447 nucleotides. RefSeq lists it as uncharacterized. NCBI's taxonomy places the organism in Eukaryota, Metazoa, Chordata, Actinopteri, Perciformes, Sebastidae. The record is from RefSeq and is a predicted model, not a curated record. The transcript is spliced from 3 exons.
ACUGACAGAAGAACUCACAUAUUGUUGGAAAUAUAUCAUGAUAAAACUGUUGUUGUGUAACAAACUUAAUUAUGUUGUGAGUUUAGCGAGUUUGGUGUUAAAUACUAGGCUUAGACUGUCUACAGAUAAUUGACUGAUGUAAGACGGGGCAAGAAUGAUCACAUGGAUUAUCUCGUGAUGGAAUGUUGAGUGGGCCUGUAAAAGGAAUAGCUACAAGGACGAAAGGGCCUUGGGGGUAAAAGCGGAUGGGGGAAGGGACAGGAUGACCAUGCAAAUAAUGUUGUGUAUUGGGUCUGCAGAAAGCCUGACCCCUUCCCCAGGGUUCGCCUGCUAAUGUGUAUAAAGGUAAACGUAUAGCAGAGCUCGGGGUUCAUUCUCUGCGAACUGACAACCGUGUUGCAUGGUAUCAGGGACACAUUGAUGAAUCCAGAACUUCUGUAAUAACUC